This 492-nucleotide ribosomal RNA is filed under the name uncultured bacterium. RNAcentral describes it as "partial 16S ribosomal RNA". It matches the Rfam family "Bacterial small subunit ribosomal RNA", at positions 31 to 507 of the family's 1533-position model. The record is from RNAcentral.
AGAGAACGCUGGCGGUAGGACUAACAGAUGCAAGUCGAACGGCAGCACAGUAAGAGCUUGCUCUUACGGGCGGCGAGUGGAGGACGGGUGCGGUCUAAAUCGGAAUCUACUUUUUCGAGGGGGCUAACGUAGGGAAACUUACGCUAAUACCGCACACCACCUACGGUUGAAAGCAGAGGCUCUUCGGACCCUGCGCGAUUGAAUGAGCCGAUGUCGGAUUAGCUAGUUGGCGGGGUAAAGGCCCACCAAGGCGACGAUCCGUAGCUGGUCUGAGAGGAUGAUCAGCCACACUGGAGCUGAGACACGGUCCGGACUCCUACGGGAGGCAGCAGUGGGGAAUGUUGGGCGAUGGGCGCAAGCCUGAUCCAGCCAUACCGCGUGGGUGAAGAAGGCCUUCGGGUUGUAAAGCCCUUUUGUUGGGAAAGAAAAGCAGCAGGUUAAUACCCCGCUGUUCUGACGGUACCCAAAGAAUAAGCACCAGCUAACUUCGUG